Molecule: ribosomal RNA, 492 nt
Filed under: uncultured bacterium
Lineage: Bacteria
Description: partial 16S ribosomal RNA
Rfam family: Bacterial small subunit ribosomal RNA
Source: RNAcentral
AGUGAACGCUGGCGGUAGGCCUAACACAUGCAAGUCGAACGGCAGCACAGUAAGAGCUUGCUCUUACGGGUGGCGAGUGGCGGACGAGUGAGGAAUACAUCGGAAUCUACUUUUUCGUGGGUGAUAACGUAGGGAAACUUACGCUAAUACCGCAUACGACCUACGGGUUAAAGCAGGGGAUCUUCGGACCUUUCGCGUUUCAAUUAGCCGAUGUCGGAUUAGCUAGUUGGCGGGGUAAAGGCCCACCAAGGCGACGAUCCGUAGCUUGUCUGAGAGGAUGAUCAGCCACACUGGAACUGAGACACGGUCCAGACUCCUACGGGAGGCAGCAGUGGGGAAUAUUGGACAAUGGGCGCAAGCCUGAUCGAGCAAUACCGCGUGGGUGAAGAAGGCCUUCGGGUUGUAAAGCCCUUUUGUUGGGAAAGAAAAGAAGCAGGUUAAUACCCCGCUGUUAUGACGGUACCCAAAGAAUAAGCACCGGCUAACUUCGUG